AGUGCCCACAGCCAAGCAGUGGUACUCAGGGCAGGCAGCAGGAUUCUCAAGCCGAGAGCGUUCCUCAAGAGAAUGUGGUAGCCAGGCAGGCGGUAGUGCCCAGGAGACGGCAGCAAUACCCAGAGAUGUGCCAAGAGCCCAUGUGAUGUGCUGUGGCAGCCCAGCUGGCAUGGGACCUGCUAUUCCUGUCAUGAAGAAGCCAGGAUCUGGCUCGGGGCUAUAGGUAUAUACCCAGGAGAGGUGCUGGUGACAUUGCCAGAGAAGAAGAAUGUGUGUAAAGGAGGGAGAGGAGAAGGAAAGCAGAGAAGCCAGACUCCAGGAGUGAGGCAAAUGACCUAACAAUGGGCUCGGCAUGCCAGUGGGAGCAGCCUUCCCCUGAACCAGAGCCAUCUUCAGCAGGAACUGGACCAUAUGGCCUCAUGGGUUGGAAAGCCCCCACCCCUCCAUGAUCUGUAUGCUGGGAAGGUAUCUGAGCCCAGAGACCAGUUAAUGGAGGACAUGGUAGAGUAAGGCUGCCCUCCACCAUUCACUGGCUAGCCUCAGGCCAUCCUCGGUUCCCCAGGAUCUCCUGGUGAUUGACCCAGCAGCAACUUAAAAUACUCAGUGGAUCUCUAGAGUGCAACGUUCUCAUACCAACCCUCCCAUGGAGAAAGGCAUUCUCAGCUGCUUUUUAUACCCACAGUGAUGUGUUUUGGCUCCUCUCUCACUCUCUGCACCUGAGACCUUGGGCUUUUCACCUGCUAGAAAGAUCACGAAGAACCCCCACCCGAGUCAAGAGGGAAGGCAGGCACACGCAGACCUGGCUAUUUCCAGAGAGGAACUGACUUGACAAACACCGGGAUGGACUCAAAGCCAGGCGGGAAGAUUACUCUCUGUGACUGUAUAAUAUGUCAGCUCCUGUCCAUUACCUUGUCAUCAGCAUCCCCUCCCCGUUCUCCCUACCUCCACCCCCCAGAGCUUGCUCCUCCUUGCCUAGGAGAUGCUUCAUGCUUUUGGAGUCUCAGCUUUGUUUCCUACACUACGAGCGAUAUGGCUUUCCUGUUCCUGCUUUGGCAUCCUACAGCUUCAAAGCUUGCUUGAUCACCCUUUGUGAGCACCUAGGAUCUUCUUUUCUAAAAAUGGUCACAGUAAUGCUCGCAACUUUACAGACUCUUUCAAGAUUUGAAGGCUUUUGUUUUUACUUUCUUUUUUGGUCAAAAGAGCAAAUCAACUUUCUCUCCCAUGGAUGAGCCCUGUGACCGCCUUUGUGGGCAAAAAUGCAGCAGGGUAGUUGCUGACGGGUUAUCGGGCCAGAUCAUGGAAAAGACCCCAUCCUGGUCUCUCUUCUUUUUGAGGUAUGUGUCUUGAGACUGUGCAUCACAGGAGCUGCGUCCUCCUAGAAUCAGCUGUCACAUAUGAGAAGAGGGCCUUUAAAUGAAUCCAGUCCCCAGCCCCUGAACUACCACAGUGACACCAAGAAGAACAAAGCUGUCUCCAUCAAGCCCAGCUGUCAUGUGGACUUGAGGGGAUUAAAGAAAAACCUGCUAUUUUGAGCCGUUAUGUUGGUAAUUGGUUCCAUAGUAACUGAAUAGACACAACCCUUAUUGUCUCAUCCGCCUGUCCUAUCACCUGGGCUAUCCUGAUCUCUCUUUUCUGGCAGCUGCCGAGCAUACUGGGAGGAAGUCUUCUGCUCCUAACAGUCAGCAUUCCUUUACCAAACCACAGAACACACGGUACUCAGGCUGUCAGAACGUGAGGUCCCACAGCGUCUUAUAGUGCCCCUGAUGUUAGGCCCUUCAUUCAGGUAGCUUGUUACUCUGACCACUCGUGUAAGACAAGCUUGCCUGUAACUGUGUCAACAGACAUCAGUUCGGGGGGAAAACCUGAGGGUGCUGCAGUCAAACCGUGCCUCCUCACCGAUGCUCCUGAGCUAAGGUGCUUCUCUGCCCUGAAGCAUCAAACCGUCUUGCCUGGCUGCUGUUAGCGUAUUCUGCCCUUUCUUGAGCUCUUCCAACUGGCAGGAGUUGUGAGAACUCCUUGCCAAGGAGCAGUGGGCUUGCAAGUGUAGCGGGCACUUGACGCUUAAGCUCUCUUCGUGAGAUACUCAGGGCCAAUAGAAAUAUCGAGCUGAUCAGAACACCACUCCUUCGUGCUGAUGGACUCUGCUUUCCAUAUUGGCUGAUCCAUUCACCUACUACAGCAGGUGCCCCAUAAUUAGCAAGGAAGGAAUCCCACCAUAUGCCUCCCCAGGAAUAUUCUAAUAUGGCCUUCAAACACUUCACAGAAACUUUGUCUGUUGCACACAUUCCCUGUUCUCCCAGUUUAGCAAGGUAGCUCACAGAGAAGGCCAAAGCCUUAGCUAGCUGGUAAGCUUUGUUUUUGUUUACACAAUCCAGGCCUUUGCAGUGGUCUCCAGGACUGCCAUCCAUGGUUCUCAGAAGUCGUCUUUGCUUCUAAUUUCGUGUUAUUGCUUUUAUAUUGAAUACAAACCCAGCCCAUGUUGGGCCUGCAAGAUGGCUCAGUCUGUGAAAGGUCUGAUGACCUGAGUUUGGGAUUCCCAGGACCUCAAUGUGGCAGGAGAGAGCAGACUCCCACAGGUUGUCCUAUGACCUCCCAACGUGUACCGUGGCACCCAUACAUGCACACAUGGUGCACACACAGAGAAAUAGAUAAACAGAACAACCAAAAAACCCAACCCCGCCCAUGUGGAAUUUGCCAUCUCUGCGUUAGCAUUAAGGGAGACUAAAAGGAGGGCAGGCACAGUUAGGGUACAUUAUGUAUUUGAAUUUGCAUUUAGAUUGUUAUUUGUUUUACAGAAUAGCUUGACCUUCAUUGGCAAUUAUAGAAAUAUGUCUUUAAAAAAAUCUAUAGCCUCAGGGCUGAUUUUUUUUUUUUAUAGCUCAGGCCAUUAUUUUAGCGCCACCUGGGGGCGAACAUUGUUUACUGCAGCGGGAAAACCGAAACGGAAAAAAAAAAAAAACACAAAAAACAAAGUAAACCCACCAAACCUUUGAUAAACAGAGAUACAAACUUGCUUCUUUUUGCCUGUCUGUCCCAAAAAAGGUACCCCAGUUGUGCAGUUGUGAGUGUCUAAUUGUUCAAUAAUUUUAUGAAAUGUGUUUGUUAAACCCAUCAUCCUACAAUGGAGAAUCGGGGCACUUUGUGAUAAAACUGAA
Meriones unguiculatus (Mongolian gerbil) is the source of this 3155-nucleotide long non-coding RNA. RefSeq lists it as uncharacterized. The record is from RefSeq and is a predicted model, not a curated record. NCBI's taxonomy places the organism in Eukaryota, Metazoa, Chordata, Mammalia, Rodentia, Muridae. The transcript is spliced from 2 exons.